RNAcentral lists this ribosomal RNA (441 nucleotides) under uncultured bacterium. RNAcentral's name for it is "partial 16S ribosomal RNA". It matches the Rfam family "Bacterial small subunit ribosomal RNA", at positions 338 to 795 of the family's 1533-position model. The record is from RNAcentral.
CCUACGGGAGGCAGCAGUGGGGAAUAUUGCACAAUGGGGGAAACCCUGAUGCAGCGACGCCGCGUGAGUGAAGAAGUAUUUCGGUAUGUAAAGCUCUAUCAGCAGGGAAGAAGCAAGACGGUACCUGACUAAGAAGCCCCGGCUAACUACGUGCCAGCAGCCGCGGUAAUACGUAGGGGGCAAGCGUUAGCCGGAUUUACUGGGGGUAAAGGGAGCGUGGACGGUAUGGCAAGUCUGAAGUGAAAGCCCAGGGCUUAACCCUGGGACUGCUUUGGAAACUGUUAGACUAGAGUGCGGGAGAGGUAAGUGGAAUGCCUGGUGUAGCGGUGAAAUGCAUAGAUAUUAGGAGGAACACCAGUGGCGAAGGCGGCUUACUGGACAGUAACUGACGUUGAGGCACGAAAGCGUGGGUAGCGAACAGGAUUAGAUACCCUAGUAGUC